Molecule: ribosomal RNA, 253 nt
Filed under: uncultured bacterium
Lineage: Bacteria
Description: partial 16S ribosomal RNA
Rfam family: Bacterial small subunit ribosomal RNA
Source: RNAcentral
UACGUAGGGGGCUAGCGUUGUCCGGAUUUAUUGGGCGUAAAGAGCGUGUAGGCGGCCAGGUGGGUCUGCUGUGAAAACUCGAGGCUCAACCUCGAGACGUCGGCGGAAACCAUCUGGCUAGAGUCCGGAAGAGGAGAGUGGAAUUCCUGGUGUAGCGGUGAAAUGCGCAGAUAUCAGGAGGAACACCAAUGGCGAAGGCAGCACUCUGGGACGUGACUGACGCUGAGACGCGAAAGCGUGGGGAGCAAACAGG